ACGAACGCUGGCGGCGUGCUUAACACAUGCAAGUCGAACGGGCCCGCCCCUGUUUUUGGGGGUGGGUUGAGUGGCGAACGGGUGAGUAUCACGUGAGUAACCUGCCCCCUGCUCCUGGAUAACUGCUUGAAAGGGCGGCUAAUACGGGGUGUGCCGGCUGGUCCGCAUGGGCCUGGUCGGGAUAGUUUCAUCUUCGGGUGUUUCGGUGGGGGAUGGGCUCGCGGCCUAUCAGCUUGUUGGUGGGGUGAUGGCCCACCAAGGCGGUGACGGGUAGCCGGCCUGAGAGGGUGGGCGGCCACACUGGGACUGAGCCACGGCCCAGACUCCUGCGGGAGGCAGCAGUGGGGGGUAUUGCACAAUGGGCGGAAGCAUGAUGCAGCGACGUCGCGUGAGGGAUGGAGGCCUUCGGGUUGUGAACCUCUUUCUCCGGGGGUGAAGGCCCUGUCCGGUGCGGCGGGGUUGACGGUAGCCGGGUAUGAAGCGCCGGCUAACUACGUG
This 498-nucleotide ribosomal RNA is filed under the name uncultured bacterium. RNAcentral describes it as "partial 16S ribosomal RNA". It matches the Rfam family "Bacterial small subunit ribosomal RNA", at positions 29 to 507 of the family's 1533-position model. The record is from RNAcentral.